CAAAUGCUUCAGGUAAACGUUGAAGCUCGCUGUACUGCGGGAGAAAUUCUGAGUCACCCCUGGGUGUCAGAUGAUGCAUCCCAGGAGAAUAAUAUGCAAGCCGAGGUUACAGGUAAACUAAAACAGCACUUUAAUAAUGCGCUCCCCAAACAGAACAGCACCACCACUGGGGUCUCCGUUAUCAUGGUCCAAGGCCAUGAACACGGCUCUAGAUAAAGAGGGGCAGGUUUUCUGCAGCAAGCACUGUCGGGACAGCAGCAAAUCAUCCAGGGAGCAGACCUCAGCCCGGGAGGCCCCGCCCCCACCGGAGUCUCCCAGGCCCCCUGGUCCUCCAGCCACCUCUGGCUGUGAUCCUGCCGGGACCUGGCGUCGCCAUCGAGACUGAACUGUGUGUCCACAGGCCAAAGCCGCUCUCUCACCGUGCCAGGAAGGCCGCUCCUCACCAGGCCCCAUCACCUCCUCACUGAAAGAGCCCUUCUCUCCUGACUGCUGCUUUGACAGUUUGUUGGCAUGUUCAGUCGCUGCCUGAGAACAGAACUGAGGCGUCCUGGAGCCAGUGUGCAGCAUGGCCUCAUGCACUUUGGGCUCUGCCCUUUCUAGUUACUGGCUGUGUCAAGCAAGCUGUGCCAGUCAUGGGGACAGAUUUGGAGUGACUUGUUUUAAAUCAUCUGUGUUUUAGUCCAGUAGACACU
This 692-nucleotide long non-coding RNA is filed under the name Rattus norvegicus (Norway rat). Its description in RNAcentral is "long non-coding RNA NONRATT016530". The record is from RNAcentral. Lineage: Eukaryota; Metazoa; Chordata; Mammalia; Rodentia; Muridae.